RNAcentral lists this small nucleolar RNA (228 nucleotides) under Labrus bergylta (ballan wrasse). RNAcentral's name for it is "Small nucleolar RNA SNORA73 family (ENSLBEG00000004388.1)". It matches the Rfam family "Small nucleolar RNA SNORA73 family". From Rfam's summary of the family: U17 (SNORA73A and SNORA73B) also known as E1 belongs to the H/ACA class of small nucleolar RNAs (snoRNAs). Lineage: Eukaryota; Metazoa; Chordata; Actinopteri; Labriformes; Labridae. The record is from Rfam by way of RNAcentral.
CCGACGUGGUCAUCCAGCGAGGUUGCUCUCCUGGCUCUGUCCUGGUGGCGUAUGGGAGCGUAGCCUUUUUUGGGCUGAGACGUACAUUCCCGUUCCACAACGUCGGAGACUAAGCUCCGUCCCCGGCUGCUGGUCGGUCGGUGAGGGCGGGGCGUCCUGCAUAUUCCUACAUCUUCCCAGAGUCCCUUGGGGCCGUUACUGGGGGGCUAAACCAUGCAGUGUACAAAC